GUUUCCGUGAGGGCUCAGUUGGUAGAGCAUUAUGCUAACAAUGCAAAGGUUAUGGGUUCAAAUCCCAGAGAGAGCA
Molecule: non-coding RNA, 76 nt
Organism: Danionella cerebrum
Lineage: Eukaryota; Metazoa; Chordata; Actinopteri; Cypriniformes; Danionidae
Source: the annotation of a GenBank genome assembly